This 24-nucleotide non-coding RNA is filed under the name Gallus gallus (chicken). RNAcentral also lists the same sequence under 2 other names. Lineage: Eukaryota; Metazoa; Chordata; Aves; Galliformes; Phasianidae. The record is from RNAcentral.
GACAUUUGGUGUAUGUGCUUGGCU